This 467-nucleotide ribosomal RNA is filed under the name Stenotrophomonas maltophilia. Its description in RNAcentral is "bacterial SSU rRNA". It matches the Rfam family "Bacterial small subunit ribosomal RNA", at positions 29 to 484 of the family's 1533-position model. The record is from RNAcentral. Lineage: Bacteria; Pseudomonadati; Pseudomonadota; Gammaproteobacteria; Lysobacterales; Lysobacteraceae.
AGUGAACGCUGGCGGUAGGCCUAACACAUGCAAGUCGAACGGCAGCACAGAGGAGCUUGCUCCUUGGGUGGCGAGUGGCGGACGGGUGAGGAAUACAUCGGAAUCUACUCUGUCGUGGGGGAUAACGUAGGGAAACUUACGCUAAUACCGCAUACGACCUACGGGUGAAAGCAGGGGACCUUCGGGCCUUGCGCGAUUGAAUGAGCCGAUGUCGGAUUAGCUAGUUGGCGGGGUAAAGGCCCACCAAGGCGACGAUCCGUAGCUGGUCUGAGAGGAUGAUCAGCCACACUGGAACUGAGACACGGUCCAGACUCCUACGGGAGGCAGCAGUGGGGAAUAUUGGACAAUGGGCGCAAGCCUGAUCCAGCCAUACCGCGUGGGUGAAGAAGGCCUUCGGGUUGUAAAGCCCUUUUGUUGGGAAAGAAAUCCAGCCGGCUAAUACCCGGUUGGGAUGACGGUACCCAAAG